GUGUUCUAUACAGAGACGCUAGAACUGCAUUUAUGAACAUGCAUACAUUCAUUAUUUGAAAUAAUUAUAGAAAGACGGUUAUAGGGCAUUUUGCUAACUAUGGAUUUAAUUCUCUGAAAUAGACUCAAUGAUUGGAAGAAACAGUAAGGAUUUAUUUUUUUUUUAACUCUGCUUGAGGAUGUAGGCCUAUAUGGAUUUACCCCACCUUCCAAUCAACAUCUCUUACUUGAUGACAACAGCUGAAAAGGACCCGGAGGUUGAGCUGUGCACGCUGUCCUAUUAGCUGUCAGAGAUCUGGCUGAUCACCCUCUCAGCGCUGGAUGAUGUUGUGCUUAUGAAUAAAGGUCAGAGGUUGACUGCCUCCUGCCACCUGCACACCUUCUGCUAGAGUGUCAGCUCAGAGUCUCAAACGGUGACAGAAUGAUGCUGACGCUUAUUAAUCC
This is a long non-coding RNA of Cyprinus carpio carpio, 443 nucleotides long. NCBI's taxonomy places the organism in Eukaryota, Metazoa, Chordata, Actinopteri, Cypriniformes, Cyprinidae. The record is from Ensembl.